This 2404-nucleotide unclassified non-coding RNA is filed under the name Leishmania donovani. RNAcentral's name for it is "gene:LdHU3.30.1430(CDS-product:hypothetical_prote in_conserved)". The record is from RNAcentral. Lineage: Eukaryota; Euglenozoa; Kinetoplastea; Trypanosomatida; Trypanosomatidae.
CAUGCGUAAGAGCAUCUCCUAUCACCGCCACCCGCAUCUCUUCUUAUUUUCCGUUCCUCUCGUCUCGCCAGAAGCCCCUUCCAAGGAUGCGUGCUUACAGUGGAAUGCGCCGUCUUGCGUGCCUGGCGAGCGCCACGGCCCUAUCGGGCCUUUCGGUAGCUGCCACUGCCGCUAACCCCGCGGCGUCGACGACUGUACCGGCCCGCUUCAUCUAUACUACGUGGGGGUCCGUGCCGUGCGAGGGGUGGGCGUGCAAUGAGAGCUGGCUGAAGCGCAUCACCUCGCAGUCCGAGUACCGCAGCUUCGAUUUCUGGCAUGUGCCGCAGGCGGAUGUUCCGGCGGGGCUGAAGCUGAACGCGGUCGAGCGCUACCUGCUGAGCAGCCUGGAGAACGACGCAGCGCGCCUGCUUCACGUUUCGUGGUGCGAGGACUUCGACUCGUACUGGCGCGACCGUGUGAACUCGCUGGAGAUGCUCUACAAGACCAUCUACACAGACGACCACCCGUUCUACCGCUACAUCUUCGGCAACUGCACGCACAAGACGGCAGAGAAGGAGCACAUGCUGCGCAAGCUGAAUUACCUCAAGAACAUUCUCUUCUGGGCUUGCCGCACAGAGCGAUGCUACACAAGCAUCGCGAAGGCGCGCUACUACGUGCAGCGCUGCGUGUGGAACGCGCUGGAGCGUGAGCGCUACCUGUGCGCGUGCGUGGAGGCCGUCGACUCCUUCGGGAAGAAGGUGCCGGAGGAGCUGCGUCAUAAGGCGAUGCCGGAGCUGGAGGUGGCUCUAGUGAGCAUGCGCCAUUGGGUGUGGGACUGCCCGAACGGCAAGCGUACCUUCACGCGUCGCCUCGCGUAAAGGUGAGCUAGCCGUUGGUGGUGCUGUAGCUGAAGCAAGAAGCAGAGUAGAAUGGGAUCUCGUGAUGGCUUGCAAGGGUAUCUGUGCGAAACCGCUUCACGCGCUUCACCUCUGCCCCCCCUUUCUGCACGCACUGCAAACACUCACGUGAGUGGAAGAAUGGUUGCGCAGAUGCACGCAGUCGAGGUGCGCCGUGCACGUUUGUACGUAUGCGUGUGUGUGGAUGUGGAGACGCACUCCUCUUUCACACUCUCUCUCUCAUACACCGCUUAUCUACUUAUGCCUAACUAAAGAUUUGCUCUGUUUCGUGUCGCGUGCACGUGCCCUCCGGAAGGCGUUCUCUCGUCGCGCCGGGCGUGCGUGCGCGCGCAGGUGCAGCGGUAGGCUCUCUUUUCCACCCCUUCCGUUUUCUUUCACGGACUAGGUGUGUGCAUGUACGCGUGUGCAUAUGAGGGGGGGGGGCGCUGCUGUGCGCCACUGAAGACGUCGCUUGCUCCGCUGUUUACGCUUGUUCUCUCCUUAUCUUUACUUCCGUUAGCACCCUUGCGUCUGACUGCUCAAGCCCCCUCUCUUUUUCCCCCCCCGUAGCAUAGGCAUGUAUGAUGGUAUGGUUGUGUGAGUGAUCUCGAUGGCCCGCCGUGCUCCGUGUUGCGCGUCGCCGUUUGUGUGUAUCCUUCCGUUUUGCCUACUUUGUGAUUCGCCUCUGCCGCGACAAAAGUGAGUAUAUCCGACCGCCACUAUGCUCUCGUGCCUGUACGGGUGCGUUUUCAUUUCGGUGCUAACACCGAUGCACGGGCUCAGACGUGCUGUUCCCUCCCCCCUUUCCCCUCCUUCGUCUCUCCCCCUGCCCAAUGCCGAGCCGCCUCUGGUGGGGGCUGAAUCAGGCACCCGUACGCCAUGGGGAGGACAGAGCGGCUCAUCGCUGCUGAUGCCGGCGGUGGGGCCCUGGACGGUGCUGCGGCCGAGCGACCUGCGACGGUGCACACGUCUGCGCCAUCCACAUGAUGGGUGAGGUGUCGACGUGACUGGAGCGUGUAUCCCACCCCCGGCCGUCGCACUGCGUACUGGGGUGUGGGGAGCCGGCGCCACCACACCCCCUCUGAGGAGAGAAUGCACCAGGGGUGGCGCCCGGCAUAGUGGGGGCGGGGGGAGGAGGGGCUGCGGUGAGGCGACCUGCGAGGCCGCGUGUGGGCGGGCAGAGUUUGGGGCAGGGGGCGGUCGUCUCAGGUGACUGAGUCGGCGCAUUUGGUGUACCGGGCGUGUCUCUCGCGCUGCUUCGCACGACGCGGAUGGGGGGCCUGCGGCAGGGCCUGAUGGGUUUAGAGCAGCGCUUGAGUCCCGUUGUAUGGCGGAGAACGUACACACGUUGGCCAAAGGAAAAAAAAAGAGAAAAACUCACCUGCUCGUGGUGUGCCAACCCCCCCUUCUGGGCGCGGGCUGGGCUUCGCUGAGCGCUUGACAUCUGCCCUGGCCACCUACACGAGCACACAUGUAGCUCAUCAGCAUUUUCCGCCGGGUGUGCGAUAGACCAGAGACCUUCGCCCUCU